ACUACGGGUGGCAGCAGUGGGGAAUAUUGGGCAAUGGGCGCAAGCCUGACCCAGCAACGCCGCGUGAAGGAAGAAGGCUUUCGGGUUGUAAACUUCUUUUGUCAGGGACGAAGCACGUGACGGUACCUGACCAAUAAGCCACGGCUAACUACGUGCCAGCAGCCGCGGUAAUACGUAGGUGGCAAGCGUUAUCCGGAUUUACUGGGUGUAAAGGGCGUGUAGGCGGGGAAGCAAGUCAGAUGUGAAAACCACGGGCUCAACCUGUGGCCUGCAUUUGAAACUGUUUUUCUUGAGUGCUGGAGAGGCAAUCGGAAGUCCGGGUGUAGCGGUGAAAUGCGUAGAUAUACGGAGGAACACCAGUGGCGAAGGCGGAUUGCUGGACAGUAACUGACGCUGAGGCGCGAAAGCGUGGGGAGCAAACAGGAUUAGAUACCCGGGUAGUC
Molecule: ribosomal RNA, 443 nt
Filed under: uncultured bacterium
Lineage: Bacteria
Description: partial 16S ribosomal RNA
Rfam family: Bacterial small subunit ribosomal RNA
Source: RNAcentral